GGCCUUCUACUUCCUGGACUACCCACAUCUACUACAUGUCUUUUACAAAGAAGGUACGAUCUUCUCUGCUUUGGAAGAAAUCUGUAAUGGAUUACAAAGCCCACUCCACCGCCCACCAUUGACCUUUCAGUAUUGGAAGGAUCCGAGAACAUCAGAACAGUAAAUCAAAGUCCCAGAGCUCCUGGGACAGACAGAUGAGUUUUCCAUGGGAAAUGCUGUGUGAUCGAGCCCCGCAAUGUCUAUAAGAAGUUUACCACUACAACAAAGCCAGAGAUUCCAUACCACACACCAAUGACGAUGUUACUCAGCAUCUGGGAGCAGGCGAUGCAACUUUCAAAACAUUUUGUAAAAGCAAUAAAUCUCCACUCUGACCAA
RNAcentral lists this long non-coding RNA (375 nucleotides) under Mus musculus (house mouse). RNAcentral's name for it is "predicted gene, 34557". The record is from RNAcentral. Lineage: Eukaryota; Metazoa; Chordata; Mammalia; Rodentia; Muridae.